GUUUUGCUUUUUCUAUAUAAAUGGAAUUUUAUAUAAAUUAAAUCAUAAGGCCAGACACAGUGGCUCGAGCCUGUAAUCUCAGGACUUUGGAAGGCCAAGGUGGAUGGAUCACCUGAGGUCAGGAGUUUGAGACCAGCCUGACCAAUACAAUGAAACCCUGUCUCUACUAAAAAUACAAGAAUUAGCCGGGUGUUGUGGCAUAUGCCUGUAAUCCCAGCUACUCGGAGGCUGAGGCAGAAGAAUCACUUGAAUGUGGGAGGUGGAGGUUGCAGUAAGCUGAGAUCGCCCCACUGCACUCCAGCCUGGGUAACAGAGCGAGACUCCAUCUCAAAAAAAAUUUAAAAAGCAGUUAAAUCAUACAGUAUGUAGUAUUCUGUAAGAUUUUUUAAAAAUCAAGUUUCUUAUAAAGUUAAACAUACAGUUACCAUAUAAUCCCUUAAUCUCACUCCUAUGUUUUUACCCAAGAGAAAUAAAAACAUGUGUCUACACAAUAGCUGGCAUGAAUGUUCAUAGCAGUUUUAUUCAUAACAACCCAAAGCUAGAAACAACCAGAUGUCCAAGAAUGGGUGAAGGUAUAAACACAUUGUGGUAUAGCCAUACAAUGGAAUACUACAGUAUGUCUGACUAUUUUCACUUAGCACCAUAAUAUGGAGAAAUCCCACAUACACUCUUCCCAGUUUAUGCCAAUGGCAAAGUCUUGCAAAACUAUAGUAUAAAAUCACAGAUAGUAUAUUGACAUUCAUACUAAGUCAACUGACCUUGACACUUAAGAUACAGAAUAUUUCCAUCAUCAUGGGGAUUUCUCAUAUUGCCCUUUUAAAGCUACAGCCCUUCCUUCCCACCCCUAUUCACUCUAUAAUCCCUGCUAACCACUAAUCUGUUCUCCAUUCCUAUGAUUUUGUCAUUUUAGGAAUGUUAUAUGAGGCUGGGCUCAGUGGCUCACACCUGUAAUCCCAGCACUUUGGGAGGCCGAGGCAGCCAGAUCACCUAAGGUCAGGAGUCCGAGACCAGCCUGGCCAACAUGCACUACGUUGUUUAAAGAAGAUAUAAGACAAAGUAGCUAAAAAAUGUGGGUGGACAUGGCAGCUCACACCUGUAAUCCCAGCACUUUGAGAAGUUGAAGUGGAUGGAUUGCUUGAACCCAGGAGUUUAAGACCAGCCUUGGCAACAUGAAACGGCGGGAAGUGCCGCAAAUCCAGAGAGACAGUCACCCUAGAGAGGGAUGGAGAACCGUGGAGUCCUCCACUUGCGUGUCAUUCAAUCAAGUAGGUGCCUAAGGACCAGGCUCUCCAAGUCACUCUAAGACCGAUGCAGCCAACCCGUGAGUAAAAGUUAAUCAUGCUGUGAAAGGUGUUAAAAUCCUACUGAAACAGAAGGUAGUUCCUCUUCUCUCACCAUUGUAAAUCAACCAUGAAAGCACAUUUUGGUUGUGUACAGUGGCUCAUACCCAUAAUCCCAGAACUUUGGGAGGCCGAGGCAGGAGGAUCACUUGAGCUCAGGAGUUUGAGACCAGCCUAGGCAAGAGAGCAAGUCUCUUUCUCUACAAAAUAUUUAAAAAUUAGCUGUGCACGGUGGUGUACGCCUGUAGUUCCAGAUACUCGGGAGGCUUAAGUGGGAGGAUUGCAUGAGCCCAGGAGUUAGAGGAUGCAGUGAGCUGUAAUUGUGCCACUGCACUCCAGCCCGGGCAACAGAGUGAGACCAAAAAAUCAGUUUUAUUUAUAGCUUAAUGUGAUUGAAUUACAACUUUUUUUUUGAGAUGGAGUCUCACUCUGUCACUAGGCUGGAGUGCAGUGGUAUGAUCUUGGCUCAUUCAACCUCUGUGUCCUGGGUUCAAGUGAUUCUCCUGCUUCAAUCUCCCAAGUAGCUGGGACUACAGGUGCGCGCCACCACACCCAGCUUAUUUUUGUAUUUUUAGUAGAGAUGGGGUUUCACCAUGUUGUCCAGGAUGGUCUCGAUCUCUUGACCUUUUGAUCCACCCACCUUGGCCUCUGAAAGCCUUGGGAUUACAGGCGUGAACCACCAUGCCCCGCCUGUGUCACAACUCUUUAGAGGCAGUAUGGCAUAAUGAUCAGGAACUGGGUUUUAGAGUCACUUGCAACCUCUCUGACCCGAUCCUCAGUUUCUAUAUCUAUAAAAUAGAGAUUAUGAUACUAGGUGUAAUGUGAAAAUUAGGACUCGGUAAACAAAGUGCCUGGUAUUAUUUUUGGCUCAAUAAUAAUGACUAGUAUUCUCAUGUUUUUACCCUUCCUAGUUGACAACUUAACCACUUAAAAAUUAGAAAUUGUGGUAAGACUUUUUUUUUUUGAGAUGGAGUUUCUCUCUUGUUGCCCAGGCUGCAGUGGAAUGGCAUGAUCUCGGCUCACCACAACCUCUGCAUCCUGGGUUCAAGCAAUUCCCCUGCCUCAGCCUCCUGAGUAGUUGGGAUUACAGGAGUGUGCCACCACACCUAGCUAAUUUUGUAUUUUUAGUGGAGAUGGGGUUUACCAUAUUGGCCAGGCUAGUCUUGAACUCCCGACUUCAGGUGAUCCACCUGCCUCAGCUUCCCAAAGUGCUGGGAUUACAGGCGUAAGCCACCAUGCACCAGCCAGAAAUUGUGAUAAGAUUUUAACUUAAAAGUUAUAUUUUGUUAUAGAUCGUUUUCUGUAAUUGGACAUUCACUAUGUGCCAGCUAUAACUGGAAAUUUACUUGUGCCAAGUGCUUUACAUAUGAAAUCUCACAAGGCAGGUAGCUUCCGUUAUUCUAAUUUUACAGACAACAGAGACACACAAGGGUGAAGUAACUUGUUCAGUUUUCUCAGGAUUCUUCAGGAAGAGGCAGAGUUUGAAUUCAAACUGAAGCCAGACUCUGACCCUGGCAUUUUAGCCACUAUGGUCUCCUGCCUCCCACUUUUGUUUUUAUUUGCAUUCUAAGCUUUACCUAAUCUAAAACUCAUGUUACUUUAAAUCUAGCCUCAUCUACGUUUGCAUGUAUCAUUGCAGAUAUUAUUCAUCUACAUUACUGGAAUUGUUAUGUGGAUAAACUUGAACAAUAUGGGAUCUGUUUAACACAUCCAAGUUUUCUCCCCUACAAGAUCUAAGAUCUAGAAACUGACUUUGUCAAA
This is a long non-coding RNA of Callithrix jacchus (white-tufted-ear marmoset), 3101 nucleotides long. RefSeq lists it as uncharacterized. The record is from RefSeq and is a predicted model, not a curated record. NCBI's taxonomy places the organism in Eukaryota, Metazoa, Chordata, Mammalia, Primates, Cebidae.